UCUUUGUGGUUUCCAAGUGGUUUGAGGUUUAGAAAAGCUUGAAGAGAUUGUUUUCGCCGAAAAGUUGCUCGGUAAAGAAAGAAAUGAGUGAAUGACAUAAGGAGAACUGAAGCAUGGUCCUGACCCUGAUUUGUACAUAUGAACACAUCGACCUCUUGUGGGUUAUUUCAGUUUAUCAUUGUGUAUGUUUGUAAUAAAGUGUGGAUUUAUGUUUUGAAAACAAAUUGGGUUAUUUAAUACUUAUGUAUAAUAUGUUUGAGACA
Long non-coding RNA from Humulus lupulus (European hop), 263 nucleotides. RefSeq lists it as uncharacterized. Lineage: Eukaryota; Viridiplantae; Streptophyta; Magnoliopsida; Rosales; Cannabaceae. The record is from RefSeq and is a predicted model, not a curated record. The transcript is spliced from 2 exons.